UUUGGCCAGACAACAGAACAUGUAGUGACAUGACAUCCUCCACCACAAAUAAGCUGUACACAAGCAGAUGGAAGAACAGACACCCCCAGGAAGACGUGUAUUACCAGAGCUACCAUGAGGACAAAGACCUGCAUAGGAGAAAAAUGAUGGUUUAGAAAAUGUAUGGCCAAAAUGUCAGCUCCUUUCUUGAAGGGAGAAGUGAGACUAUAGCUCUGGUAUGUUUUGCCCACCUUUCCAUAUGAGGAUACAGUGCCCAUGGAAAAAAUAUUUUGAGUCUUUCAUGACCAGAAGAGAGAGACAGAAGAAGGUGGGGAGAGAGGGAGAAAAAUGCUGAGAACAGAGCCCUAAAGGAGUUUGAUCCCAAAAAGUAUGGAUUGGAAGGUUCUACAGACUGUGGAACAAACAGACCAGGACUGUGUUUGAGAAGGGGAAACAUUAAACCCAUCGGCGCCAAUCAGUUUUUGUCACCACUUUUUCUGGAGCAUCAAUAUGGACCUGAGGUCAGCAUGGACAAAAGACACCACAGAGGACAUGAGGCAUCCAGAUGCCUCUGCUCAUUUUUGUGUGUUUUGGAUCGGCUGUGGUCAAUGGCUUGUCACAGUUACCAGGUCUAUAAUAAAGUGUGAAAAUCCCUGA
This is a non-coding RNA of Heterocephalus glaber (naked mole-rat), 636 nucleotides long. The record is from RefSeq and is a predicted model, not a curated record. Lineage: Eukaryota; Metazoa; Chordata; Mammalia; Rodentia; Bathyergidae.